GACGAACGCUGGCGGCGUGCUUAACACAUGCAAGUCGAACGGAAAGGCCCUGCUUUUGUGGGGUGCUCGAGUGGCGAACGGGUGAGUAACACGUGAGUAACCUGCCCUUGACUUUGGGAUAACUUCAGGAAACUGGGGCUAAUACCGGAUAGGAGCUCCUGCUGCAUGGUGGGGGUUGGAAAGUUUCGGCGGUUGGGGAUGGACUCGCGGCUUAUCAGCUUGUUGGUGGGGUCGUGGCUUACCAAGGCUUUGACGGGUAGCCGGCCUGCGAGGGUGACCGGCCACAUUGGGACUGAGAUACGGCCCAGACUCCUACGGGAGGCAGCAGUGGGGAUUAUUGCACAAAGGGCGGAAGCCUGAUGCAGCAACGCCGCGUGCGGGAUGACGGCCUUCGGGUUGUAAACCGCUUUCGCCUGUGACGAAGCGUGAGUGACGGUAAUGGGUAAAGAAGCACCGGCUAACUACGU
This 467-nucleotide ribosomal RNA is filed under the name uncultured bacterium. RNAcentral's name for it is "partial 16S ribosomal RNA". It matches the Rfam family "Bacterial small subunit ribosomal RNA", at positions 28 to 506 of the family's 1533-position model. The record is from RNAcentral.